GACCAGACUCCUACGGGAGGCAGCAGUGGGGAAUAUUGCACAAUGGGGGAAACCCUGAUGCAGCGACGCCGCGUGAGUGAAGAAGUAAUUCGUUAUGUAAAGCUCUAUCAGCAGGGAAGAAAAUGACGGUACCUGAGUAAGAAGCCCCGGCUAACUACGUGCCAGCAGCCGCGGUAAUACGUAGGGGGCAAGCGUUAUCCGGAUUUACUGGGUGUAAAGGGAGCGUAGACGGCUGGUCAAGUCUGAAGUGAAAGCCCGGGGCUUAACCCCGGAACGGCUUUGGAAACUGAGCAGCUAGAGUGCUGGAGAGGUAAGCGGAAUUCCUAGUGUAGCGGUGAAAUGCGUAGAUAUUAGGAGGAACACCAGUGGCGAAGGCGGCUUACUGGACAGUAACUGACGUUGAGGCUCGAAAGCGUGGGGAGCAAACAGGAUUAGAUACCCGCGUA
RNAcentral lists this ribosomal RNA (446 nucleotides) under uncultured bacterium. RNAcentral describes it as "bacterial SSU rRNA". It matches the Rfam family "Bacterial small subunit ribosomal RNA", at positions 329 to 792 of the family's 1533-position model. The record is from RNAcentral.